UACGGGGGGGGCAAGCGUUGUUCGGAAUUACUGGGCGUAAAGGGCUCGUAGGCGGCCAACUAAGUCAGACGUGAAAUCCCUCGGCUUAACCGGGGAACUGCGUCUGAUACUGGAUGGCUAGAGUUCGGGAGAGGGAUGCGGAAUUCCAGGUGUAGCGGUGAAAUGCGUAGAUAUCUGGAGGAACACCGGUGGCGAAGGCGGCAUCCUGGACCGACACUGACGCUGAGGAGCGAAAGCCAGGGGAGCAAACGGG
This 253-nucleotide ribosomal RNA is filed under the name uncultured bacterium. RNAcentral's name for it is "partial 16S ribosomal RNA". It matches the Rfam family "Bacterial small subunit ribosomal RNA", at positions 524 to 776 of the family's 1533-position model. The record is from RNAcentral.